RNAcentral lists this unclassified non-coding RNA (1016 nucleotides) under Hevea brasiliensis (rubber tree). The record is from RNAcentral. Lineage: Eukaryota; Viridiplantae; Streptophyta; Magnoliopsida; Malpighiales; Euphorbiaceae.
GGUUCUUCACAUUACCACUAGGAAAUCUCCUUGUGGUGAAGGUAUUUACCCAAAGAACGAACUUAGUUUUUUUGAAUUUCAAUGCUAUGUCAUAUCCUAAUCAAUUUAUGUAUGGCCUAUAGUGUUGAGGAAAAUUCUGUUGGUUUUGACCAUGUGUAGCAAUAUGGUAUAAAUAUCUCUGUAUUUGUGAUGCUUCUGAGUGUUUCUUCACUAUACUCAUGUAUUGCUAGAAAUUUGAAUUGCACAAGAUAAAAGAACAUUUGUGAUGUGGGGAUAAGAAAUUGAAAGAGUGGAAAUGCAUCUGUUGUGCUGGUUGAAUGGGCCUUUGUGAUCAAUGGUACUGCAUUAUACUUUCAAAUUGUGUACUGGGAUCAUAAUUUUAAGUUGCUUUAAUACAGUAUCAUGGAUGUCUGAUAUUGUCUGUUAUGCAGGUAAGUUGAUGUCUGUUGUUAUCAGUUAUACAACUAAGUUGUAUCAUAUGUGUUAUCCUAGUUGUAUCAUACAUGUUAUCCUGUUGUACAAGUUGUCAUGCAUCUAUUUUUUUCUGUUAAGUUGGACUUUAUAUUUCAGAUAUUUUCUUUACUUUUAUGCUUGAUCUUGAUCAUGGUAAUUAAAUAUUAAAUUUUGAGUUGCAUUUGUUAUUUGUUUUUCCUUAGCAGAUCACUUCUUUCCUAUCAGCCAUGUAAAAUCUCACAAAUAGGCAUUAUCAAAUAUUUGACUUAUAUGCUACGAUGAUUCGUUUUUGUGCAUUGAGAGUACCUAACUUCUCUUUUAAACAUUGUGUGGAAAGUACUAGGACUAAGGUGUAAAUUGAGUGACUGCACAAGUUCACAGACAUUUGGUUUUUAAUUGGUUAAGCUUUUAAUGUAUGUUCUUGAUUUUUGAAGUUGUUAAUGGUCUUUAGUUCUGUGUAGCUUAUGUAUUACUAAAGAUUGUUCUACUCAUGCAAUAAAUAUUUUUAACCUUCUGUUCUGUUUGCAGGAACCAAUACAUGGGACAGAUUUGAGCUUCGGGUC